Molecule: ribosomal RNA, 253 nt
Filed under: uncultured bacterium
Lineage: Bacteria
Description: partial 16S ribosomal RNA
Rfam family: Bacterial small subunit ribosomal RNA
Source: RNAcentral
UACGUAGGGGGCAAGCGUUGUCCGGAAUCAUUGGGCGUAAAGAGCGUGUAGGCGGCCCGAUAAGUCCGCUGUGAAAGUCCAGGGCUCAACCCUGGAAUGCCGGUGGAUACUGUCGGGCUCGAAUCCGGAAGAGGUGAGUGGAAUUCCUGGUGUAGCGGUGAAAUGCGCAGAUAUCAGGAAGAACACCCGUGGCUAAGGCGGCUCUCUAGUACGGUACUGACGCUGAGACGCGAAAGCGUGGGGAGCGAACAGG